GAAGGAGAAGGAGGAGGAAGGGGAGGAGAAAGACGAAGAGAUGGAGGAAAACUGAAAAUGGUUGCCUUGCUCUUCCUGCUUCCACCUCAAACCCUAAAAUGACAGUGCUACUGGCUUUCCCCCACUUCCCUGGUGACCUGUGUGAUGCAGUAAAGGCAGCCAUAAUCCCCCUGGGAACACAACUCUAUUGGCAUGGGAACCACACUUCCAUCCUCCACAGAAGCCACAGCAAGUCCCCCCGAGAGUCUGAGCUCAGACACACCUAACCCUGUCCUCACCUGUUGAUCUUUCUCUGCCUACCCUCGUGGCCGAAGACAAAGGACUUAAUCUCUUGGGAGCUCUGUGGCCCCACCCACUGCCUGAUCCUCUUUAUAUUACCACAGCUGAUAUGCUUUUGAAACUGCCACCUCCUGGCUGGAGGCCAACUAACAGAAGACCAGUGCACCAAACAAAAAUACAACCAAGGACCCUCACAGAGUCCACUUCACCCCACUGCUACCUCCACCAAAGCAACUGCUGGUAUCCACAGCUCAGAGACCUGAAGAUGGAUCACAUCACAAGACUCUUUGCAGACACUCCCCAGUACCAGCCCAUAACCAAGUAGGUCCAUUGGGUGGCUAGAUCCAGAAGACAAAUAAAAAUCACUGCAGUUCAGCUCUCAGGAAGCCCCAUCCCUAGGAGAAGGGAGAGAGCAUCACAUCAAGGGAGAACCCCAUGGGACAAAAGAAUCUGAACAGCAGUCCUUGAGUCCCAGAUAUUCCUUCCGACAUAGUCCACGCAAAUGAGAAGGAACCAGAACAACAAUUAUUCUAAUAUGACAAACAAGGUUCUUUAACACCCCCAAAAGAUCAUACUAGCUCACCAGCAAUGGCUCCAAACCAAGACAAAAAUCUCUGAAUUGCCAGAAAAAGUAUUCAAGCUGAUGAUUAAGCUAAUCAAGGAGGCACCAGAGAAAGGUGAAGUCCAACUUAAAGCAAUGAAAAAAAUGAUAUAGGAUAUGAAUGGAAAAUCUCCAGUGAAACAGAUAGCAUAAAUAAAAAAUCACAACUUCUGGAAAUCAAGGACACACUUAGAGAAAUGCAAAAUGCACUGGAAAGUCUCAGCAAUAGAAUCAAACAAGUAGAAGAAAGAACUUCAGAGCUCAAAGACAAGGUUUUCAAAUUAAACCAAUCCAAAA
RNAcentral lists this long non-coding RNA (1177 nucleotides) under Homo sapiens (human). RNAcentral's name for it is "HSALNT0203846". Lineage: Eukaryota; Metazoa; Chordata; Mammalia; Primates; Hominidae. The record is from RNAcentral.